RNAcentral lists this ribosomal RNA (492 nucleotides) under uncultured bacterium. RNAcentral's name for it is "partial 16S ribosomal RNA". It matches the Rfam family "Bacterial small subunit ribosomal RNA", at positions 29 to 507 of the family's 1533-position model. The record is from RNAcentral.
AGUGAACGCUGGCGGUAGGCCUAACACAUGCAAGUCGAACGGCAGCACAGUAAGAGCUUGCUCUUACGGGUGGCGAGUGGCGGACGGGUGAGGAAUACAUCGGAAUCUACUUUUUCGUGGGGGAUAACGAAGGGAAACUUACGCUAAUACCGGAUACGACCUACGGGUGGAAGCAGGGGAUCUUCGGACCUUGCGCGAUUGAAUGAGCCGAUGUCGGAUUAGCUAGUUGGCGGGGUAAAGGCCCACCAAGGCGACGAUCCGUAGCUGGUCUGAGAGGAUGAUCAGCCACACUGGAACUGAGACACGGUCCAGACUCCUACGGGAGGCAGCAGUGGGGAAUAUUGGACAAUGGGCGCAAGCCUGAUCCAGCCAUACCGCGUGGGUGAAGAAGGCCUUCGGGUUGUAAAGCCCUUUUGUUGGGAAAGAAAAGCAGCAGGUUAAUACCCCGCUGUUCUGACGGUACCCAAAGAAUAAGCACCGGCUAACUUCGUG